CUCAUCCCACGGUGGAGCGCGCCAACGGCUCUAAAGGUGUAGCGAUGAAUGCAAUGGCUGUUAUUUCUCUAUGUUACCGUUGCAAAAAGCACGAUUUCACCUCUUAUUUCUGUUUUUUUUGGUUCAAUUUGCCUGUGUUAUCAUGUGUUUGGCAUGGCAGUGCGUCUUUAUUCUUUGUUUGUUUGAGAAGACGUCGUGCAAGUCCUCUCGCCCGCCUGGGGAAGCUCUUCCUGUGGAUUGGUAACUUGCAGCCGCCGUUCCGACACCCUGCAUUCGUAUCUUUCUUGAGACCAAGUCCACAGAGCUCAUCCUUAUCUUUCUUGAGACCAAUCAUCUGCGAAGGAAUGUUGCGUCAUACUCUGCAGGGCAUCGCAACAGCACCCAGAGGAUAAUUUGAGAAGCCGGCUUGUAAUUCAGAAUCAUAACAAGAUUAGCAAGGCUGUCCGUUCCCAAUAGGGCUAGUGACGUUCCCUGACUGUUAUGUCUUUGGAAUAGUGGCUAUGAUUCAUCUGAAUUCAAACCCUCUGAAGCAUUAAGGCAAUCUAUAACUCAUUCUGCGUCCACAAGUUUACCAUGUAUAUUGCAUAACCAAACCCAGUUUCCUGGUUCAUAAAAAAGAGGCCCAUUAUCUCUAUCAUGUAAUAACUUUGCGAUUUUUCCUCACGUGUGUUGUAUGUUACAUCAGCAACCCCAGAAUCCCCAUUAAAUUCAUUCCCCUGUUCCCUCGUUUAUUUUUUCAAGGCGAUCCAGCUGCCACUUUGUCUCCACAAAGUUAUCCACAGAUUCUUUGCCAGUCACACUGUAUAUUUCUCAAUUAGGAAGAAGAUGGUCUCCAACUGAUGAGUUUGAAUGCCUUUCUCGAACACCAUCUAUUGUACAUCAACCAUGAUAACUACCUCUAGAUUAAUAGAGGAAUUCAAACUGUACUAGAUUUGUGUAUAUUCCCCCUUACUGACAUUACUAACUUUCAGUUGUGCAUGCUUUUGCUUACCAUGGGAUCUCUCUACUUCGGUUUUUGUUUUUCAUCUCAUUUAUAUAUACUUAUAAUCCUCAAGCAUUUUCCCAAUAACUUCUCUAGUAAUAUUUUUAUCAAUUGGAUGCAUCUUUCAGUUCAUAUUUCUUCAAGGCUAAAUAUACCGCCUUAUCUUAUGUAUUCAUCAAAUCAGUGACAACAUCUUUAUUUCAGAACUGAUGCUGUAUAAUCCAUAGUUUCUUUGCUAGGUGUGCUGUACAUUUCUUAAUUAGGAAGAAAAUAGUCUCUGACUGAUGAGUUUGAAUGCCCUGCUUCACCACCAUUUAUUGUAAAUCAGCCAUGAUAAUUACCUCUGGAUUAACAGAGAAAUUAAAACUGCACCAGAUUUAUGGAUAUUCCACCUUUAUGACAUUAUUGUGACAAAUAACUUUCAGUUGUGCAUGCUCUUCCUUACCAUGGAUCCCUUUACUUCAGUUUUUAUUUUGUCUCAUUUGCAUAUGCUCUUUAUCUUCUAGCAUUUUCCCAUUAACUUCCCUGGUAAAUUGUAUAUCAUUAGAUGCACCUUUCAGUUCACAUUUCUCCAAGGCUAAA
Molecule: RNA transcript, 1564 nt
Organism: Cryptomeria japonica (Japanese cedar)
Lineage: Eukaryota; Viridiplantae; Streptophyta; Pinopsida; Cupressales; Cupressaceae
Exons: 2
Source: RefSeq, a predicted model, not a curated record